This 604-nucleotide long non-coding RNA is filed under the name Triticum aestivum (bread wheat). RNAcentral's name for it is "long non-coding RNA (TAES_LNC013388)". The record is from RNAcentral. Lineage: Eukaryota; Viridiplantae; Streptophyta; Magnoliopsida; Poales; Poaceae.
GCCAUCGUGGGGUGGGCCGGACUACUUUCUUCUACCUUUCCUUCUUUCUGUUGCACUAGCGUUGUUUACUGAACCUUGCUCCAGACACGUCUCAAAAUAUUCGUGAUGUACUAAUUUUUAUGUAUACAUAUGCGUAAAUGGUGCCAUAUGGUUGCAAGAGACAGGCUUGGAUGAUUAGGUUAGGUUGAUUCACUCUUCUGUUGCUUGUCCGACGGAGUUCAUCAUGUUUCUUGUGUUACUGUUUUCCAGAGAUAAGUUGCAAUUUCUUUAAGGAGAAAUAAGUUGCCGUUUCACUUUGCACAUGGUUGAUAUAUCAGGAUUCCGACUGCUCUCGCCCAUCUGUGAAUUCUUCUAAUCCUAGACCAAGAAAACAUACUGCCUGCAACUACUUUUUUUGGAAAUGGAGGUAUACCCCCGGCCACUGCAUCAUGAUGAUACAGCUCGCAAACGGAGCAAAACUGCCUGCAACUACUAAUGAAACGCAUCAGCCUUCUCGGACAAAGGUGUGGCAUAAAUAAGAAAUGCACUUUGAGGAAUUCCUCGGCUGGAGCUUGAAGCAAAAGUAGAAAAACUAAUCAAUGUAACCAGGUGCUGGUUGCUGAGU